RNAcentral lists this long non-coding RNA (205 nucleotides) under Elaeis guineensis (African oil palm). RNAcentral's name for it is "long non-coding RNA (EGUI_LNC081130)". Lineage: Eukaryota; Viridiplantae; Streptophyta; Magnoliopsida; Arecales; Arecaceae. The record is from RNAcentral.
CUUGGAGCGGCGAUUUUAAUCCAUUACCAUAUGAAGAUUAUUGGAUGCAUGCACGUAUGUUCAAAUGUAUUCCUGAUCAUCAUCGUUUAAGACUCAAGCAGAAAGGUAGACCAAAGUCAACAAGAUUACGAAAUGAAAUGGAUGAUAGGCAAAUAAGAAGUAAGAACCUCUGUGGCAUUUGUAAGAAACAGGGUCAUGACCACCG